CCAAACUGUUGCCUCGGCGGGAUCUCUGCCCCGGGCGCGUCGCAGCCCCGGACCAAGGCGCCCGCCGGAGGACCAACCAAAACUCUUAUUGUAUACCCCCUCGCGGGUUUUUUACUAUCUGAGCCAUCUCGGCGCCCCUCGUGGGCGUUUCGAAAAUGAAUCAAAACUUUCAACAACGGAUCUCUUGGUUCUGGCAUCGAUGAAGAACGCAGCGAAAUGCGAUAAGUAAUGUGAAUUGCAGAAUUCAGUGAAUCAUCGAAUCUUUGAACGCACAUUGCGCCCGCCAGUAUUCUGGCGGGCAUGCCUGUCCGAGCGUCAUUUCAACCCUCGAACCCCUCCGGGGGGUCGGCGUUGGGGAUCGGCCCUUUACGGGGCCGGCCCCGAAAUACAGUGGCGGUCUCGCCGCAGCCUCUCCUGCGCAGUAGUUUGCACACUCGCAUCGGGAGCGCGGCGCGUCCACAGCCGUUAAACACCCCAAACUUCUGAAAUGUUGACCUCGGAUCAGGUAGGAAUACCCGCUGAACUUAAGCAUAUCAAUAAGCCGGAGGAA
RNAcentral lists this ribosomal RNA (550 nucleotides) under Trichoderma virens. RNAcentral describes it as "eukaryotic LSU rRNA". The stretch from base 165 to 318 matches the Rfam family "5.8S ribosomal RNA". The record is from RNAcentral. Lineage: Eukaryota; Fungi; Ascomycota; Sordariomycetes; Hypocreales; Hypocreaceae.